This is a long non-coding RNA of Octodon degus (degu), 251 nucleotides long. RefSeq lists it as uncharacterized. Lineage: Eukaryota; Metazoa; Chordata; Mammalia; Rodentia; Octodontidae. The transcript has 3 exons. The record is from RefSeq and is a predicted model, not a curated record.
UGAGGACACCGAGUUCCGCGAGGGCGUCGUGGUAGACCGGCCCACCCGGGCAGGCCACGGCUCCUUUGUUAACUGUGGCAUGAAGAAGGAGGUGAAGAUCGACAAGAACUUGGAGCCUGGACUCCGGGUGACUGUGAGACUGAACCCAACGCAGCUUCCAGAAUGCAAGACCUACCGGGGCACGGUUGUAUCAUCGCAGGAGCCUCGAACCAGAGCCGGGCUCUACUGGGGCUACACUGUCCGCCUGGCCU